GACGAACGCUGGCGGCGUGCCUAAUACAUGCAAGUCGAGCGCAGGAAACUGACGGAACUCUUCGGAGGGAAGGCAGCGGAAUGAGCGGCGGACGGGUGAGUAACACGUAAGGAACCUGCCUCAAGGAUUGGGAUAACUCCGAGAAAUCGGAGCUAAUACCGGAUAGUUCAUCGGACCGCAUGGUCCGUUGAUGAAAGGCGCUCCGGCGUCACCUUGAGAUGGCCUUGCGGUGCAUUAGCUAGUUGGUGGGGUAACGGCCCACCAAGGCGACGAUGCAUAGCCGACCUGAGAGGGUGAUCGGCCACACUGGGACUGAGACACGGCCCAGACUCCUACGGGAGGCAGCAGUAGGGAAUCUUCCACAAUGGACGAAAGUCUGAUGGAGCAACGCCGCGUGAGUGAUGAAGGUUUUCGGAUCGUAAAACUCUGUUGUAAGGGAAGAACACGUACGAGAGGGAAUGCUCGUACCUUGACGGUACCUUACGAGAAAGCCACGGCUAACUACGUGCCAGCAGCCGCGGUAA
RNAcentral lists this ribosomal RNA (524 nucleotides) under uncultured bacterium. Its description in RNAcentral is "partial 16S ribosomal RNA". It matches the Rfam family "Bacterial small subunit ribosomal RNA", at positions 28 to 523 of the family's 1533-position model. The record is from RNAcentral.